GACGAACGCUGGCGGCGUGCUUAACACAUGCAAGUCGAACGGAAAGGCCCUGCUUUUGUGGGGUGCUCGAGUGGCAAACGGGUGAGUAACACGUGAGUAACCUGCCCUUGACUUUGGGAUAACUUCAGGAAACUGGGGCUAAUACCGGAUAGGAGCUCCUGCUGCAAGGUGGGGGUUGGAAAGUUUCGGCGGUUGGGGAUGGACUCGCGGCUUAUCAGCUUGUUGGUGGGGUAGUGGCUUACCAAGGCUUUGACGGGUAGCCGGCCUGAGAGGGUGACCGGCCACAUUGGGACUGAGAUACGGCCCAGACUCCUACGGGAGGCAGAAGUGGGGAAUAGUGCACAAUGGGCGGAAGCCUGAUGCAGCAACGCCGCGUGCGGGAGGACGGCCGUCGGGUUGUAAACCGCUUGCGCCUGUGACGAAGCGUGAGUGACGGUAAGGGGUAAAGAAGCACCGGCUAACUACGUG
RNAcentral lists this ribosomal RNA (468 nucleotides) under uncultured bacterium. Its description in RNAcentral is "partial 16S ribosomal RNA". It matches the Rfam family "Bacterial small subunit ribosomal RNA", at positions 28 to 507 of the family's 1533-position model. The record is from RNAcentral.